This 360-nucleotide long non-coding RNA is filed under the name Pan troglodytes (chimpanzee). RNAcentral's name for it is "long non-coding RNA NONPTRT013347". The record is from RNAcentral. Lineage: Eukaryota; Metazoa; Chordata; Mammalia; Primates; Hominidae.
CGGGAAUCUGGGCGGGGCUGGGACCCUCACGGUCCUCACGGUCCUCACGGUGCCGUCCUGUGUUCCAGGUGUCCCACGGCCGUCCGUUGGCGCUGGCCUUCGUGGAGCUCACGGUGGUCCAGAGGUUCCACGAGCACGUGCACCAGCCUUGCGUGCCGCCCUCGCUGCGGGCCGUGCUGGGGCGGCUCAGUGCUCUGUACGCCCUGUGGUCCCUGAGCCGCCACACGGCCCUGCUCUACCGAGCGGAAAUCACAGCAAACGCAGAUCCCACCACAGAUGUGCUCCCGAACGCACAAGGCCACGGCCUUGGACCUCUUAGGGCCCUGCCAGAAACCACAGCGGCUGGAGGUGACACCAAGG